AACGAACGCUGGCGGCGUGCCUAACACAUGCAAGUCGAGCGGGAAAGUUCCCUUCGGGGAGCGAGUACAGCGGCGAACGGGUGAGUAACACGUAGGUAACCUACCCUUGAGACUGGGAUAACCUGCCGAAAGGCGGGCUAAUACUGGAUAAGACCGUGAGGGCUGCGGCCCUUGGGGUAAAAGGUGGCCUCUGCUUGCAAGCUACCACUUGAGGAUGGGCCUGCGCGCCAUUAGCUAGNGGUGAGGUAACGGCUCACCAAGGCUGGGAUGGCUAGCUGGUCUGAGAGGAUGGCCAGCCACACUGGGACUGAGACACGGCCCAGACUCCUACGGGAGGCAGCAGUGGGGAAUAUUGCGCAAUGGGCGAAAGCCUGACGCAGCGACGCCGCGUGGGUGAUGAAGGCCUCGGUCGUAAG
Molecule: ribosomal RNA, 416 nt
Filed under: uncultured bacterium
Lineage: Bacteria
Description: bacterial SSU rRNA
Rfam family: Bacterial small subunit ribosomal RNA
Source: RNAcentral